AUGAUUAAAAAACAUUUUGUGUUAUUUAUGUUUUUAAUCCAUAGCAUGACAAUGGAGCAUUGUGUGUCAGCAGCUGUAAUUCAAAUGAAGAAAACAUAUCUGACUAUUGUUUAUAUUUUAGUAUUGAAAGUCUUUGAGGACAGAUUGAUAAUCAGAUUUAAACAUGCCAAGCCAAAGCCAGACUCCCAAUGUGAUCCUUUUCAACAAGUUUGCUUACAAGAUUCUCAUUGUAGCUUCUAGUUUGGCGCCACAGAAACAAGCAACCUGGGGAUUUCGGCAGAGCCCUUCAGGGAAACAACUUGAGGGACUAGCUCAGAGGCUGUUUUGGUUUCCAGCCGGUAAGUCACCCUGCCAUUUGUUCUACAUACUUCCUUACGUGUUCACUGCACCCAAGAGGUCGAUGGCACUCAGCACUGAGCUGGAGCGUAUGCUACCUCGCCCUGUGAUUCCCAGGAUCCACUGUGUAGCCUCUGAACCAGGAUCCCCAUCACUCACUCUCCUGGAUCUUAACUCUGCUGACGUUACCUGCCAUUGAACUUUUGGCUGAUUCUUUUAAAGACACAUUUACGUGCUUUCAAAUUAAAGCCGAGUUUUGAGUCCUUUAGCGAGGAUAAUGAAGAUAUUUCAUUCUCUUAAAAGCAAAACAAUUUCAAGAUUUUAUUCUCUGAAUCUUGCCCAAGCAUGAUUCACAAUUUACUACUAUUAAGAUAAGGCUCACAUGAGCUGAGAUUUCAUGACAUUUUGGGAAAUAUCUAGUCCAAAUUUUAGUGCUAAUGAGAAGUCUAGGGAAUAUUGAUUUGUGUGAAAGGGAGGGGCUCUGGCUUGAGGCUAUUGUUGAGGGGUGUGGGAGCUGCAUGAAGCUUUGGCUGUUUGGUGCAAUCAAGAAGUAAUGGACUGAAUAUCAGAUGACUUGGGUCUAGUCCUGGCUUUGAACUUGGCCAAGGAUUUUUUUUCAUUCUUGGCCUGGAUGUCUUCAUCUGCAAAAUGACUAGAUUUGGCAAAAGUCUUCUCUGAUCCCUCCCAGCAGUAACAUUCUAUAUUUCUAAAACAUGUGCGAAAGCUUUGCUCCAGUCCAUUGGGUUAUAUGCACUAAUCAACUGCAGUCCUCGAUGUUCGCUUGUCCCAACUCUGGCCACUGUGACUGAUAGUAAUGUUGAUUUAGCAGAUAGAGACCUUGGAAGACUAACACCCACAAGGAGGGGAGGGAUGUGAGUAAAUCUGUUGUUUACGAGAUUUCAUAACCUCCCACCCUUGACACAUACACCUUCUAUAAUUAACCACCAAGGAAUGGGGAGGGGGGAGCCAAUGAAAGCACAACUGAUUUAUGUUUAAAUAAUAUGUUCCCAAAGUGUCACCGAGCAGGCAAGUUCAUCUUUGAGCCAAUUAAAUAAAUCCAGUUCCAACUUGGCCUCUUCCA
This 1417-nucleotide long non-coding RNA is filed under the name Oryctolagus cuniculus (rabbit). RNAcentral describes it as "lncRNA (ENSOCUG00000032615.1)". The record is from RNAcentral. Lineage: Eukaryota; Metazoa; Chordata; Mammalia; Lagomorpha; Leporidae.